GGAAGGGGUGGGAAGAGCUCGCAGCACCGCCGGGCGCCCGUCGGGCUCUAGGAGAGAGAAAUCCGGUUAAAUUCGGAGUCGGAGGGAGGUUUAACCACAGAUCGCUUCUCAUCCGAUUAUUCCUUAAAGGGGACGCGCCAUUGUCAAGAGAACGGAGCCUGGGGCCCGAGGGCGGGGACCGGCGGCGCCUAGGAGCAAGGCAGCUGCACUUGGACUGGGAACGGGACAUCAAGGUAGCCCCACGACAGUGCAACUCAACCCUCGAUGAAAGAGCACUUCCAGAACUGCUUCAGAAAGUGGCAAGAACAAUGAGAUAAGUAUACAUAGGAAAUGAAGACAAUACAUAGGAAAUGAAGACAGGUAUUCAGACAAAUACUUGGAUAAUGGGUACCAAAUGCAGUUAGAAAGGUGGUAUGUCAUUAGAAUGGUUGUUAUCAAAAAGAAAAUAAAAAGAGAAAUUAUCAAAUCAAAUGCUGGCAAAGAUGUGGGAAAAGGGAAUUCUUCUACACUGUUGGUAGAUAUGUUAACUAAUACAGUCUUUGAAAACAUUAUAGAGGUUCCUCGAAAAGCUAAAAAUAUAGAGCUAUGAUUUGAUCCAAGAAUCCUACGACUGGAUGUAUCUCCAAAGGAAUGAACUCAGUAUGUCAAUGAGACAUUUGUACUCCCGUUUUUGAAGUCAACCUAGGUGUCCAUCGAGCGAUGAAUGUAUUUUACCCUGAUUAAGAAAAAUGCAUCAGUAAAUACAGAUCAGUUAAAUAGUAUGGAAAGUUUAGAAAUAAACCCUUACAUUUACGAUCCAGGUUGUAUUUUUGUUUCCCUUCCCCAACAAAGAUGACAAUUGAGGAAAAGAAUGGUCUUCUCAAUAAAUGGUACUGAGACAACUGGAUUUCUACAUCAAAAGAAUAAAUCUGAAUUCCUCCUUCAUACUAUACACAAAAUUAAAAUUGGA
Long non-coding RNA from Heterocephalus glaber (naked mole-rat), 949 nucleotides. The record is from Ensembl. Lineage: Eukaryota; Metazoa; Chordata; Mammalia; Rodentia; Bathyergidae.